Molecule: ribosomal RNA, 486 nt
Filed under: uncultured bacterium
Lineage: Bacteria
Description: partial 16S ribosomal RNA
Rfam family: Bacterial small subunit ribosomal RNA
Source: RNAcentral
AUUGAACGCUGGCGGCAUGCCUUACACAUGCAAGUCGAACGGCAGCACGGGUGCUUGCACCUGGUGGCGAGUGGCGAACGGGUGAGUAAUACAUCGGAACAUGUCCUGUAGUGGGGGAUAGCCCGGCGAAAGCCGGAUUAAUACCGCAUACGAUCUACGGAUGAAAGCGGGGGACCUUCGGGCCUAGCGCUAUAGGGUUGGCCGAUGGCUGAUUAGCUAGUUGGUGGGGUAAAGGCCUACCAAGGCGACGAUCAGUAGCUGGUCUGAGAGGACGACCAGCCACACUGGGACUGAGACACGGCCCAGCCUCCUACGGGGAGCAGCAGUGGGGAAUUUUGGACAAAGGGCGAAAGCCUGAUCCAGCAAUGCCGCGUGUGUGAAGAAGGCCUUCGGGUUGUAAAGCACUUUUGUCCGGAAAGAAAUCCUUGGCUCUAAUACAGUCGGGGGAUGACGGUACCGGAAGAAUAAGCACCGGCUAACUACGUG